Molecule: non-coding RNA, 24 nt
Filed under: Arabidopsis thaliana (thale cress)
Lineage: Eukaryota; Viridiplantae; Streptophyta; Magnoliopsida; Brassicales; Brassicaceae
Source: RNAcentral
CCGCCUUGAAUUAUAAUUACCACC